UAAAGCGCAUGGGGGCGUGCCUAGUACAUGCAUGUCGAGCGAAUGGAUUAAGAGCUUGCUCUUAUGAAGUUAGCGGCGGACGGGUGAGUAACACGUGGGUAACCUGCCCAUAAGACUGGGAUAACUCCGGGAAACCGGGGCUAAUACCGGAUAACAUUUUGAACUGCAUGGUUCGAAAUUGAAAGGCGGCUUCGGCUGUCACUUAUGGAUGGACCCGCGUCGCAUUAGCUAGUUGGUGAGGUAACGGCUCACCAAGGCAACGAUGCGUAGCCGACCUGAGAGGGUGAUCGGCCACACUGGGACUGAGACACGGCCCAGACUCCUACGGGAGGCAGCAGUAGGGAAUCUUCCGCAAUGGACGAAAGUCUGACGGAGCAACGCCGCGUGAGUGAUGAAGGCUUUCGGGUCGUAAAACUCUGUUGUUAGGGAAGAACAAGUGCUAGUUGAAUAAGCUGGCACCUUGACGGUACCUAACCAGAAAGCCACGGCUAACUACGUGCCAGCAGCCGCGGUAAUACGUAGGUGGCAAGCGUUAUCCGGAAUUAUUGGGCGUAAAGCGCGCGCAGGUGGUUUCUUAAGUCUGAUGUGAAAGCCCACGGCUCAACCGUGGAGGGUCAUUGGAAACUGGGAGACUUGAGUGCAGAGAGGAAAGUGACUUCCAUGUGUAGCGGUGAAAUGCGUAGAGAUAUGGAGGAACACCAGUGGCGAGGCGACUUUCUGGUCUGUAACUGACACUGAGGGGCGAAAGCGUG
Molecule: ribosomal RNA, 752 nt
Filed under: Bacillus sp. PK4
Lineage: Bacteria; Bacillati; Bacillota; Bacilli; Caryophanales; Bacillaceae
Description: bacterial SSU rRNA
Rfam family: Bacterial small subunit ribosomal RNA
Source: RNAcentral